UCAGGAAAUGCGCUUUCUACUCCCCGCGCCCGGUAGAGCUAAUGCAGGGAAGUUUCUGGGAACAUUCGACCAGCGUUUGUAUUGGAGUCGAGGAACUUCUCUGAAAACCAAUUCUACGAUAUCCCAGCAGCUAAACACAGCCCGAAUUCCCUAGAAACAGAGAGAGCGAGAGAAAACACUGUAAACCCCAAUCACACGCUCCUGUUUUCCCGAGACCAGCAGGCCCGGGACAGUUGGUGUUUGGCCGUGCCGCUGUCUAACUUGGUGUGCAGAGUGAAUUGCCGCUGCCGGAGCGGAGAGAGGCGGAGCGGCCAGGAGAGAGGGGAUUUCUGUCAGCGCCGGCGCUCGGGAGCUCGGAGACAUGAACGGCUUCACGCCUGACGAGAUGAGCCGCGGCGGGGAUGCGGCCGC
This 411-nucleotide small RNA is filed under the name Pan troglodytes (chimpanzee). RNAcentral describes it as "processed transcript". The record is from RNAcentral. Lineage: Eukaryota; Metazoa; Chordata; Mammalia; Primates; Hominidae.